CGAAGAUUACCUCAACCAUAUUAGUAUACCCCACAUAGGAUCUCCUCAUCUAAUAGCGUAUGGGAUCAACGGUCUAUCUCAAAUCUUUGAAAUAUGGGAGAGCUUUGGCUACAACCUUUAACUAAACUAAAGAGCAAAAGUGGAACUUAGGCUAGGUCUCAACACCUGGUAUGAUGAACUAAGUCUCAAUACUUAGGUUUGAGGCAUGACCCUCUUUUCUUUUCUCAAAUAUUAU
Molecule: long non-coding RNA, 235 nt
Filed under: Amborella trichopoda
Lineage: Eukaryota; Viridiplantae; Streptophyta; Magnoliopsida; Amborellales; Amborellaceae
Description: long non-coding RNA (ATRI_LNC002933)
Source: RNAcentral